ACGAGUUUCCGGGCUUGCUCGGAAAUUAGUGGCGAACGGCUGAGUAACGCGUAGGUGACCUACCCCGUAGUGAGGAAUAACUGCCCGAAAGGGUAGCUAAUACCUCAUGUUGAGACGCUUUCAUUAGCGUCUCCAAAGCAGCAAUGCGCUAUGGGCGGGGCCUGCGUUCGAUUAGCUAGUUGGUGAGGUAAUGGCUCACCAAGGCGACGAUCGAUAGGUGGUCUGAGAGGACGAUCACCCAGACUGGGACUGAGACACGGCCCAGACUCCUACGGGAGGCAGCAGUCGGGAAUUUUGCGCAAUGGGGGAAACCCUGACGCAGCAAUACCGCGUGUGGGAUGAAGGCCUUCGGGUCGUAAACCACUUUUCUCGGGGACGAUAAUGACGGUACCCGAGGAAUAAGCCACGGCUAACUACGUGCCAGCAGCCGCGGUAAUACGUAGGUGGCAAGCGUUGUCCGGAUUUACUGGGCGUAAAGCGCGCGCAGGCGGUGAAUGAAGUCGAAAGUGAAAGCCCCGGGCUCAACUCGGGAACAGCUUUCGAAACCAGUUCACUUGAAGGUGGAAGAGGGAAGUGGAAUUCCGAGUGUAGCGGUGGAAUGCGCAGAUAUUCGGAGGAACACCAGAGGCGAAGGCGACUUCCUGGUCCAAUCUUGACGCUGAGGCGCGAAAGCUAGGGGAGCAAACAGGAUUAGAUAUCCUGGUAGUCCUAGCUGUAAACGAUGGAUACUAGGUGUUGGAGGUUUUAACCCCUCCGG
Molecule: ribosomal RNA, 757 nt
Filed under: uncultured bacterium
Lineage: Bacteria
Description: bacterial SSU rRNA
Rfam family: Bacterial small subunit ribosomal RNA
Source: RNAcentral